RNAcentral lists this ribosomal RNA (430 nucleotides) under Acidobacteriota bacterium. Its description in RNAcentral is "Acidobacteria bacterium partial 16S ribosomal RNA". It matches the Rfam family "Bacterial small subunit ribosomal RNA", at positions 355 to 776 of the family's 1533-position model. Lineage: Bacteria; Pseudomonadati; Acidobacteriota. The record is from RNAcentral.
UGGGGAAUAUUGGUCAAUGGGCGCAAGCCUGAUCAAGCCAUGCCGCGUGUGUGAAGAAGGCCUUUUGGUUGUAAAGCACUUUAAGCGAGGAGGAGGCUACUUGGAUUAAUACGCUAGUAAAGCGGACGUUACUCGCAGAAUAAGCACCGGCUAACUCUGUGCCAGCAGCCGCGGUACUACAGAGGGUGCGGGCGUUAAUCGGAUUUACUGGGCGUAAAGCGUGCGUAGGCGGCUUCUUAAGUCGGUUGUGAAAUCCCGGAGCUUAACUUAGGAAUUGCAUUUGAUACUGGGAAGCUAGAGUAUGGGAGAGGAUGGUAGAAUUCCAGGUGUAGCGGUGAAAUGCGUAGAGAUCUGGAGGAAUACCGGUGGCGAAGGCAGCCAUCUGGCCUAAUACUGACGCUGAGGUACGAAAGCGUGGGGAGCAAACAGG